RNAcentral lists this non-coding RNA (31 nucleotides) under Macaca fascicularis (crab-eating macaque). Lineage: Eukaryota; Metazoa; Chordata; Mammalia; Primates; Cercopithecidae. RNAcentral also lists the same sequence under 1 other name. The record is from RNAcentral.
UGGGCAGUGGAGCACUCAAUCCAUAUUCUCC